UCUUAGACCGGAGUCGCGACACGGCCGC
RNAcentral lists this small RNA (28 nucleotides) under Bombyx mori (domestic silkworm). RNAcentral's name for it is "ovarian small RNA-30081". Lineage: Eukaryota; Metazoa; Arthropoda; Insecta; Lepidoptera; Bombycidae. The record is from RNAcentral.